UACAGAGGGUGCAAGCGUUAAUCGGAAUUACUGGGCGUAAAGGGUGCGUAGGUGGUUUGAUAAGUUAGAUGUGAAAGUCCUGGGCUCAACCUGGGAUUGGCGUCUGAUACUGUCAGGCUAGAGUUCUGUAGAGGAAGGUGGAAUUUCCGGAGUAGCGGUGAAAUGCGUAGAUAUCGGAAGGAACAUCGGUGGCGAAAGCGGCCUUCUGGACAGGAACUGACACUGAGGCACGAAAGCGUGGGGGAGCAAACAGGG
This 255-nucleotide ribosomal RNA is filed under the name uncultured bacterium. Its description in RNAcentral is "partial 16S ribosomal RNA". It matches the Rfam family "Bacterial small subunit ribosomal RNA", at positions 524 to 777 of the family's 1533-position model. The record is from RNAcentral.